Molecule: long non-coding RNA, 2501 nt
Filed under: Marmota monax (woodchuck)
Lineage: Eukaryota; Metazoa; Chordata; Mammalia; Rodentia; Sciuridae
Source: RNAcentral
AUUCAAAGAAAAAUAAGAUUAUAAAUCAGUGUCUUCUUAGAAUAAUUUGAUUUCUUCCUUUUCACUGUGAAUCAUUUUUCAUAACUUUUACAGUCGUUUGAACUCUGGUUUAACUGCUACCUAAGAACUUAGAAGAAUUGGACAGGUUGCUUAAAUUUGUAAAUGUCAGUUUCAUCAUUUCUCAGUUGAGGAAAAUGGACCAUGGGAUUGUUAUGAGGAUAAAAUGAGAUGGUGUAUGUCAAACACACGUCAGUUUAAUCAACAAAUAUUCAUUACGCACUAUAUUAGCUGGCAUCCAGGAUGGUCCUCAACAAUCCCCACCUCCUGGUUGAUCUCUGUAACUAACUUCUAGCUUUUUCUCUCUUUGCUCACUCAUUUUGAGGAACCACAUGGAGCAGCCCAACAAAGAGUUCCACCUGGAAAAGAAUUGAAAACUACUGAUAACAACUACCAAGGAACCAAGGCUUCUUGCAAGUAGCCCUGGCUGUAGGACUUGGAAACCAAUCCUUCUGCCCCAAGCAAGCUUUCAAGUGACUACAGCACCAGCUGAUAGCUUGACGGAAGAACCUUGACCCAGGACCACUCAGCUAAGCUGCUCCCCAAUCUUAAUGCUCAGAAACAGUGUAAGACAAUAAAUGUUUAUUGCUUUAAGUUGCUAAGAUUUCAAAUAAUUUACUUCACAACAACAAAUAGCUAAUAAAUGUACAUUUUAAGCCUCCAGCACUGUGCUAAAUAAAGCAAAGAACAAGGCAUCUUACCAUCAUGAAGCUUAUACUCUAAAGUUAGGAGAGUGAUAAAUGCUCAAUUAAUGGUUUGUUGUUGUUUUGUCACUAAUAUUUUCUAGCAUAAUAUUAUUCAUUUUGUUUUAAAAUAAAAGUCCAAAGUGGUAGCUGGUAAGAGUGGGUAGAAUAUGAAUUUGAGGUUUGGUCAUGUGAAUUUUAAAGUGAGAUACUGUCACUUAUCCACUAAAAUUAGGAAGGAAGGAAGGAAGGAAGGAAAGAAGGGAGGGAGAGAGGAAGGAAUGGAAGAAGGACAAUCCCAAGUGUUACUGAAAAUAUGGAGUAUCUAGAAUUCAUGCAUCAUGGGGCAAAUGUUAAGUGGUAAAAGCACUAUGUAAAAUAAUUUGAAGUUUCAUAUGAGCAUAUACCUACCCUAAAUAUCUAGCCAUUCUAUUAAGUAUUUCCACAGACAAAAAUGAAAGCAUAUGUCCAAAUAACAGUUGUUUACAAAUGUUGAUAGCAGUUUUAUUUACAUUAGCCAAAAGCUAUGGAAAAAAAUCCAAAUAGUCCUCAAUAGAUAAGUAAAUAUUAUUUAAAAUGUAACAUAUUGAAACAAUGGAAUAAAACUCUAAUAAACUAUUAAGAUGUGAAACAAUGUGGAUGAAUCUCAAGAACACCAUGAGGAACAAAAGAAGCCAGACACAAAAAAAGUACAUACUGUAUUAUUAUGGCAUUUAUAUAAAAUUCUAGAAAAUGAAAACUAAUAUAAAAUGCCAACCUAGAUCAAUGGAUACAUCAGCUGGCUUUGGGGAAGAAAUGUAAGGGCACAAUCUUUGGCAAGUGUCAUGAGGGAACUUUUUGAAUAUUAAAUAUCUUGAUAGGGUAGUAGUUACAUGGGUAUAUACACUUAUUAAAUUUAUAAAAUUUCAUAUUUAGAGUGGGAACCUUUUAUUAUAUAAAAUUAAAAAUUGAUAAAAUUAGUUUUUUAAAAAUUAGCAAAUACUAUUCAGGUAAAUACUAUACAGGUAAAUAUAUCCAAUAGGCAGUUGUAAAUUACAUCUAAGGCUAAGGGUCAUGUUGUGGUAGCUGGUUAGCAAAUAUUUGUUGAGUGUCUGUUACCUGCCAGGCACUGGGUUACUUUGCUGGGAUGACAAGAAGAAACAAGACAGCUUCUAGUCUAACUAGAAGAAAGGUAGUUAUUAAAGGGAAUUACAACAGUCAUAUGAUAGUGGGAUAUAACUUUUUCUCUAAUCUAGAAGAUCUUUAAAGCAGCUAACCUCUUUGUCCUAUAAUGCAUCAUUCAAGUGACCCUCUGAGUUAUUUAUAUAUAGACCAAAUAGCAAAUUAGAUUUUAUGCAAAAACCAGACAUUGGGAAGAGAGCUCAAUUUGCAUAAGGAUAUCAGAGCUCUCUUGGAAGGGAAGCACUCAGACCUCAAUCCAUGCUUCCCCAAAUUUGAAUUUAACGAUAUUUUCUAGAGAUUGUAUAUCCCUGCUGUAAGGAAAGGCUACAUUCAAACCAUUCAAAAAAACCUGAGGGCCUACAAAAUUCUAUGACUGUUAGUUUAGAAUUCAAUAAUCUUUAUAAUCAGAACCAAAGUCACUAUGCUACAAUCUCUCAAAUUUCCUAUUACCAUUUAAAUUGAAGUUAUAUUCUCCUUCCAUUUUUUUUAUUAAACUGCUUAGCUCAUUUAUGUUUAAUGUAAUUAUAAAAUGAUUAAAUUUAAAUCUGCUACUUUAUUGUUUCCUGUUUCUACAAACUGAUUUACAUUCCUCUGUUCCUG